This 367-nucleotide long non-coding RNA is filed under the name Gossypium raimondii (Peruvian cotton). RNAcentral's name for it is "long non-coding RNA (GRAI_LNC001287)". The record is from RNAcentral. Lineage: Eukaryota; Viridiplantae; Streptophyta; Magnoliopsida; Malvales; Malvaceae.
GUUCGAUCACUUCUUUUAAAUAAGGGGAAAAGAGAAGACAAUAGAAAAUAAGAAAAAAGAGAAAUGCACGGCGGUUGUCAUGGUGGAGGAGGCGGCGCUUGAGGUAGAGAUUGGAGAAAAAAGGGGAGGAAAGAUGCGGCAAGGUAGUCACUUGACGGUGAGGUGGUGGUAGUGCAAGGCUAGUUACGAUGGAGGAGAAGAGAAAAAAAAAUAAAGAGGAGAAUGAAGUCUAACCAAAAAGAGAGAAAAAAAUGAAAAAAUGAGAGGUUAGGGAGGAGCUAAUGGUGGGACGGCAAUGAGAGGGAGGGUAUGUCAAAUUGGGUGAGAAGUAUGGUGAUCAACUAUGAAUUGGUUCAUUGAACCUCAC